UACGGGGGGGGCAAGCGUUGUUCGGAAUUACUGGGCGUAAAGGGCGCGUAGGCGGUCCGCUAAGUUGGAUGUGAAAACUCUGGGCUUAACCCAGAGCCUGCAUUCAAAACUGACGGGCUAGAGUUCUGGAGGGGAUAGCGGAAUUCCUGGUGUAGCGGUGAAAUGCGUAGAUAUCAGGAGGAACACCGGUGGCGAAGGCGGCUAUCUGGACAGAAACUGACGCUGAGGCGCGAAAGCUAGGGGAGCGAACAGG
Molecule: ribosomal RNA, 253 nt
Filed under: uncultured bacterium
Lineage: Bacteria
Description: partial 16S ribosomal RNA
Rfam family: Bacterial small subunit ribosomal RNA
Source: RNAcentral